CUUCCUCUCCCCUUAAAGAGAAGGGGUCGUCGGAGUCAAGAAAUAAGCAACAUCUUCAUGGAAAUAUGUCAAGGUAAUUGGGAUAGGUCAAUAAACAUAUCCCUUUCACUCCCCCUCCCCCCCCUCUCAAGGGGGGAGAAGAGCACUUAAAUUUCAAGAAGAACACAAGCACAGGUCCCUAGAUCGAACCAGGCUCUGAUACCAUGCUAAAAUAUGAAAACUAUGAGAGAAUAUUUGUUUGUGGGAAUUUUCUGUGUAUUCUUCUCCUUGUAGGAGGUUAUAUUUAUAAUACAACGAAACCUGAAUGGGC
RNAcentral lists this long non-coding RNA (310 nucleotides) under Prunus persica (peach). RNAcentral describes it as "long non-coding RNA (PPER_LNC001504)". Lineage: Eukaryota; Viridiplantae; Streptophyta; Magnoliopsida; Rosales; Rosaceae. The record is from RNAcentral.